GGCUGUUACCCCACCGCCCGGCAGCUCCAUGGUGAUGCUGCAGAUGACGUCGCCCUCUACCUGUCAGCAGCCGCGAGCGCCGUCCCCGUGCCACAGAAAACAAAGCGCCCACCAUCACAAGCAUAACAGCGGGCCGGAGCACCAGCGCCCCCGCAGGACGGCACAGGAGCUGCAGCUGCCCCUGGACAACACGCAGAGCAGCCUGCCCUCGUCCCCAGCGCUCACCCCUUCUCCUGGACAAUCCCACAGCAGCAUCAAGGCCAUGCCGACCGGACUGCCCCCCAUCCCGCUCAUGGCCCACCCCCACGCAGCGCACCCCCACCUCGCGCACCCCCACCACCCAAUGCUGCCUACUGCCUUCUGCCACCCUGGACAAGGUGAGCCGCAUUACUCGCUUCUGGGGCAGCCGCUCCAGUACAAGCCCUCCAUCAGACCUCCGCUGCUCCACGCCGCACAUAUGGUCACCAAACACCAGGCUCCGCUGGGGAUGUGGCGUAGCAGUCACGGGAGGAGAGCCAGCCGCAAACCUGUGUCUUCAGAUCUGAGUUGAACAUCCCGACGGCGGGGGUGACGAGACCUCCUGCGGGUAUUGACGAGGCAAACCAAAACCUACCGAAUUCACCGGCAAAAAAAAGAAUAGCGACGCAUCGGGGACGCAUCGGGAUUUCGGCCGUUAAGUUCGCCGGCGAAGAAAGGGGGCAGAUAUGGACUAUUUUGUAGCUGCUAAAAUAUUUCACUACACCCAUCCUCUCUGUCACUUGCAACGAAUGUUUACUGUUAAUUUAUUUUAUGGUUUUCAAAUAACCAAGCACCACCGGUUUCCAAAAUGGCCACUACAUAAUGUAAAAUUCUGCCUUUUCUUUUAUUCGGGUUUCCUUUUGUUUUCGUUCCAGCAAGGAGGAGUUUGAAAACGUUGCCACUGUUAAAAAAAAACUGAGUGAUAAUAUUUUUGCAUUUAAAUUUUCCUAUAUCUAUAAUAUAUAUAUUGUUACAAAAAGUGUGCUUAUUUUUACUUUCGUUUUAUUCCUUCGCCUUCAUCAACCUGGCAAUGUUAAAAAAUUAUUGUAAUAGUUCGUGCCACCAAAUGUUCACAGCAUUACAACCAGGCCAUCGAGAUCUCAAAAGAAAGCUUCGAUAUAUUGUCAUUUUAGGCUCCACGAAUGUUGUUUUUGCACUGACGGAGGUUCGGAGACGUGUUUGUUGCACUUACCCAGGCGACUUUGUUUUAUAUUUAAAUUAAAAAUGUUUAUAUAUGCACAAAGAAAAUGCAAUGCUGUGUGUCUUUUGUUUGAUUUUUCUUGGCAAAAGUAACUGGAGGUGCCCCAUGUAAGGUGUGACUUAGGCUAUGUAUAAUGUCUAACGCCAAUAAAACUUUGCACCACGUGUGUUAACUUAAACAUGACUAUAUAAUAAUGAAAAAUAGGCCUAUGCAUAUGAAGAUGAGGCAUGUAAUUCAAUGUCGCGUUGGUGAAAUGGAUG
RNAcentral lists this long non-coding RNA (1479 nucleotides) under Neogobius melanostomus (round goby). RNAcentral's name for it is "lncRNA (ENSNMLG00000001137.1)". Lineage: Eukaryota; Metazoa; Chordata; Actinopteri; Gobiiformes; Gobiidae. The record is from RNAcentral.